This is a long non-coding RNA of Hippocampus comes (tiger tail seahorse), 359 nucleotides long. RefSeq lists it as uncharacterized. The transcript is spliced from 2 exons. Lineage: Eukaryota; Metazoa; Chordata; Actinopteri; Syngnathiformes; Syngnathidae. The record is from RefSeq and is a predicted model, not a curated record.
GCUGUGCUCACUAAGGUGAAAGGUCAGGUUUGACUCCAAAAUGGCCGAUCCCAAAUAGGCAAGGAGCAGUUGUGAUUGUUGCUUCCCUUGUCCACAUCGUAAGAUCUCAUGACACACCCAACACUGCCACCUGGCGCCCACUCGAGUUCACGUCAGUGCGCGCUUCCUCCAGCCCAGAGCACACCGAAAUGUUUCGACAUCCGCUAUUCCCAAUGUCCCCAAAAUAUGACACUGUUCAGCAGUUCACACCCCUGUUUAUACUACGCAUCUUAAUUGUAGUCAUUGCUCGAAUACGACUUCAAAGUGCAAUAUCAUGCACGCACGCUAUAUGCACAUUAAAAUAUUUUUUUCACACACUA